RNAcentral lists this small RNA (39 nucleotides) under Arabidopsis thaliana (thale cress). Its description in RNAcentral is "ATSL105070". The record is from RNAcentral. Lineage: Eukaryota; Viridiplantae; Streptophyta; Magnoliopsida; Brassicales; Brassicaceae.
CUGAACAUUCAGUAUUCUCCAUGCCGGUUUCUCCUCAUU